RNAcentral lists this ribosomal RNA (468 nucleotides) under uncultured bacterium. RNAcentral describes it as "partial 16S ribosomal RNA". It matches the Rfam family "Bacterial small subunit ribosomal RNA", at positions 28 to 507 of the family's 1533-position model. The record is from RNAcentral.
GACGAACGCUGGCGGCGUGCUUAACACAUGCAAGUCGAACGGAAAGGCCCUGCUUUUGUGGGGUGCUCGAGUGGCGAACGGGUGAGUAACACGUGAGUAACCUGCCCUUGACUUUGGGAUAACUUCAGGAAACUGGGGCUAAUACCGGAUAGGAGCUCCUGCUGCAUGGUGGGGGUUGGAAAGUUUCGGCGGUUGGGGAUGGACUCGCGGCUUAUCAGCUUGUUGGUGGGGUAGUGGCUUACCAAGGCUUUGACGGGUAGCCGGCCUGAGAGGGUGACCGGCCACUUGGGGACUGAGAUACGGCCCAGACUCCUACGGGAGGCAGCAGUGGGGAAUAUUGCACAAUGGGCGGAAGCCUGAUGCAGCAACGCCGCGUGCGGGAUGACGGCCUUCGGGUUGUAAACCGCUUUCGCCUGUGACGAAGCGUGAGUGACGGUAAUGGGUAAAGAAGCACCGGCUAACUACGUG